RNAcentral lists this ribosomal RNA (388 nucleotides) under uncultured bacterium. Its description in RNAcentral is "bacterial SSU rRNA". It matches the Rfam family "Bacterial small subunit ribosomal RNA", at positions 30 to 412 of the family's 1533-position model. The record is from RNAcentral.
AUUGAACGCUGGCGGCAUGCCUAACACAUGCAAGUCGAACGGCAGCACAGUGUGUAGCAAUACACAUGGGUGGCGAGUGGCGGACGGGUGAGUAAUGCUUAGGAAUCUGCCCAAUGGUGGGGGAUAACUAGCCGAAAGGUUAGCUAAUACCGCAUACGCCUUUACGGGGAAAGGCGGGGGAGUCGAAAGACCUCGCGCCGAUGGAUGAGCCUAAGUCCGAUUAGCAGUUGGUAGGGUAAUGGCCUACCAAGGCGACGAUCGGUAGCUGGUCUGAGAGGACGGCCAGCCACACUGGAACUGAGACACGGUCCAGACUCCUACGGGAGGCAGCAGUGGGAAUAUUGGACAAUGGGGAACCCUGAUCCAGCGACGCCGCGUGUGUGAAGAA